AGCAGUCGCCACGGUAAUACGAAGGUCCCGAGCGUUGUUCGGAAUCACUGGGCGUAAAGGGAGCGUAGGCGGCGUGGUAAGUCAGAUGUGAAAUCCCGGGGCUCAACCCCGGAACUGCAUCCGAUACUGCCAUGCUAGAGGAUUGGAGAGGUAGCUGGAAUUCUUGGUGUAGCAGUGAAAUGCGUGGAGAUCAAGAGGAACACUCGUGGCGAAAGCGAGCUACUGGACAAUAACUGACGCUGAGGCUCGAAGGCCAGGGUAGCGAAAGGGAUUAGAGACCCCUGUAGUCCCUGUCUCUUAUAC
This 303-nucleotide ribosomal RNA is filed under the name uncultured bacterium. Its description in RNAcentral is "partial 16S ribosomal RNA". It matches the Rfam family "Bacterial small subunit ribosomal RNA", at positions 507 to 807 of the family's 1533-position model. The record is from RNAcentral.